UUUAAUGAGAGUUUGAUCCUGGCUCAGGACGAACGCUGGCGGCGUGCCUAAUACAUGCAAGUAGAACGCUGAUGUUUGGUGUUUACACUAGACUGAUGAGUUGCGAACGGGUGAGUAACGCGUAGGUAACCUGCCUCAUAGCGGGGGAUAACUAUUGGAAACGAUAGCUAAUACCGCAUAAGAGUGAUUAACACAUGUUAGUUAUUUAAAAGGAGCAAUUGCUUCACUGUGAGAUGGACCUGCGUUGUAUUAGCUAGUUGGUGAGGUAAAGGCUCACCAAGGCGACGAUACAUAGCCGACCUGAGAGGGUGAUCGGCCACACUGGGACUGAGACACGGCCCAGACUCCUACGGGAGGCAGCAGUAGGGAAUCUUCGGCAAUGGACGGAAGUCUGACCGAGCAACGCCGC
This 409-nucleotide ribosomal RNA is filed under the name Streptococcus agalactiae GB00888. Its description in RNAcentral is "bacterial SSU rRNA". It matches the Rfam family "Bacterial small subunit ribosomal RNA", at positions 1 to 400 of the family's 1533-position model. Lineage: Bacteria; Bacillati; Bacillota; Bacilli; Lactobacillales; Streptococcaceae. The record is from RNAcentral.